This is an RNA transcript of Oncorhynchus kisutch (coho salmon), 9571 nucleotides long. It is a transcript of the gene named protein Daple, with no coding region annotated. The record is from RefSeq and is a predicted model, not a curated record. Lineage: Eukaryota; Metazoa; Chordata; Actinopteri; Salmoniformes; Salmonidae. The transcript is spliced from 33 exons.
AGGUUGUAUGAUGCUGUGUGUGAAAUAAAUAAUGUGCGGCAGAGGCAGGCCAUGGAGGUGUACAGAACUUGUCGUCGCCGGAAGCAUCUGUAACUUUUCUCUUCAUGGUCGCGGCAACAAUGUUUCUAUUUUGAUUACGCUUAUUUUUCGAUGUUCUUCCAGUCAGUUUACAUGGGCAAUGUAGAUUGAACAUGUGAACGCGUUUACUUUGUUCUGCUCUUAUGGAAGUUUUAGAUUAAUUUAGUCUAAAACUGCAGUCUGAACGCUAUAAUUACCCCCAAAAAAUUGAAUCCCUGUGACCUGAACUGGAUUUAAAUUUGGUAAAAUAUAAAAGGCACUUUUUUUUGCGUCUUCGGAAUCUAUUUCGACGUGAAGAUUUGUUUUCGCUAGAUCCCCAACAACGUGCGGUUUUAUGUUCGAUGCCUCACGGCAUUGUUCUGUCUCGACCAGGCAUGUAAGGUCCCUCGAGCUGAGGAAUGAGUGGCCGCGAGCAAUCGGGCGGUGAACACUAUUUUCGGAUUUAAGAACUGGGUGGAAUAUCUGAAGUUUCUGAACAUGGAUAUUACAGUGUCAGAGUUGAUGGGAAACUUCAUGGAUACGCCGCUGGUGGUGUGGGUGAAGACCUUUGGACCCCUGGGCUCUGGCUCAGAGGACAAACUCUCCAUGUUCAUGGAUCUGGUGGAUGGUGUCUUCCUGCACAAGAUCAUGACACACAUAGACCCCAGCCCCACAAAUCAGAGAGUGAAUAAGAAUGUGAACAAUGAUGUGAACCUACGAAUCCAGAACCUCAACAUUGUGAUCAGGCACAUCAAGAACUACUACCAGGACAGUCUCCAGCAGCUCAUCCUGAUGACCCUGCCUAAUGUGCUGACCAUCGCGAAGGACCCCCUCUCAGGCAAGGGCAUGGAGGAGGUGAAGAGACUGCUGCUGUUGAUCCUAGGCUGUGCUGUACAGUGUGAGAGGAAAGAAGAGAUCAUUGAGAAAAUCAAACUGCUCGACAUCGAGAAGCAGGCAGCCAUCGUCUCCCACAUUCAGGAGGUGACUCAUAACCAGGAGAAUGUGUUGGACAUGCAGUGGCUGGAGCUGCCAGACAUGCCCCCUGAGGAGCUCAACCCCCUGUCCCGUAACAUGGCCCUGCACCUCCGCAAACUCAUAGAUGAACGAGAUGAAUGUGCAGAGGUGAUCGUGGAGCUGACCCAGGAGAAGGACUACCUCCAGUCCCAGCAGCCCUCCAAUCACAUGGGUUACCCCUGUCCUGAGAGGAAUGUGUUGGGCCUGGACGGACCCGUCUCACUGCUGUCCAAAGAGGACCGCCAGCACCUGGCUGUGGAGCUGGCCGACACUAAAGCCAAACUGAGACGCUCACGGCAGGAACUGGAGGAGAAGACUGAGCAUCUGAUGGAUACCAAACAUGAGGUGGAGAGGCUGGACCUGGAGAUGCAGAAACUCAAGCAAGAGAACAUGCAGGUGCUGGCGGAGGCACGGUCGGUACGUGCCUACAGGGAUGAGGUGGAUGCUCUGAGGGAGAAGGCAGCCAAGGUGGACAGACUGGACACAGAGCUGUCACGCUGCAAGGAGAGGCUACACGACGUCCACUUCUACAAGACACGAGUCGAGGAGCUGAGAGAGGACAACGUGACUCUGAUUGAUACCAAAGCCAUGCUGGAAGAGCAGCUGGGGGCAGCCAGGGGGCGCUGUGACAAACUACAUGAGUUGGAGAAGGAGAACCUGCAGCUGCGCUCCAAACUCCACGACAUGGAGAUGGACCGGGUCACAGAUAAGAAGCGCCUGGAGGAGUUGAUAGAGGAGAACAUGCUGCUGGAGAUCUCUCAGAAACAGAGCAUGAACGAGUCUACCCACCUUGGCUGGGAGCUGGAGCAGCUUGCUAAGAACAAUGACAACAGCGACACGCGCAAGUCGUUUGUGUUUGAACUGAACGAGUCUACGUCGAGCCGUCUGCUGAAGCUGGAGAAAGAGAACCAGGUUCUGCAGACCACCAUACAGGAGCUCAGAGAGGCUUCCCUAAGUCUAGAGGAGGGCCAGUUACAUACCUUGGAGCUGGAGAGUGAGAACCAGGGCCUCUGCAAGAAGCUGGAGCAUCUGCAGACCCUGCUGGACCAGGAGAAGCAGACAACCCAGGACAUGGAGGGUCUCGGGGAAGAUCUACUCAAAGACAAGCAGAAACUGGAUAAGGCUCUGGAGACACUGCAGGAAGACAAGGACAGACAGAUCUCUGAGCUGGAGCAGGAGAAGGAGCACCUGAGCCAGGCGGUGAGCUCCCUGCGUCAGCGCGCCCAAGCCAACAGUGAGGCUCGGGUCAGGGAGGUGGAGACAGAGAACCGCGUCCUCCACCAGACCAUCACGGACACCGGGUCCAAGCUGGCCCGGCUAGAGGCCCAGGGCAAGCAGUCGACUAAGGAGCUGGAGACACUGAGGGAGAGGGGGGAGCGCUGUGAGGAGCUGGAGAGGGAGACUGCACAUCUUGGGAGGAGCAAAGAGCAGCUUCAGAGGGAGGUGGCGUCGCUGAUGAUUAUGUGUGACCGGGCCGAGGCCCUGGAGAGAGACAACGCCAGCCUGGAGCAGGACAACCGGAGGCUGAAGAAGCAGGCGGACACGGCCCAGAACACCAGCCUGCGCCUGACUACUCUGGAGAAGGACCACAGCCUCCUGGACCAGGAGAACCUGGAGCUCCGCCGCACUGUGGAAUCUCUUCGGCCGGCCGCCGUGCGCCUGGCCCAGCUCCAGCAGGAGAAUGGGGAGCUAGAGCGGGACAGGGAGGAGCUGGCCCGGUCUGUGGAGGAGCUGAGGUCCCAGGGGAAAAGGGCAGAGAGGCUGGAGAUGAGCAUCAGCAGCCUGGGUCAGGAGAACCAGAGGCUCCAGCAGAGCCUGGACAACAGCUCCACAAAGAUCCAGGGGCUGGAAAGGGAGCUAAGGCAGGCCGAGGCCGAGACAGGGGGGCUAAGAAGGGAGCUGGAGGAGGUGUGCCUGGUGGCGAAACGCCUGGAGGCAGUGGAGAAGGAGAAGAGGGGGCUGGAGCAAGAACUGGGCCAGUCAGAGAAGGAGAGUAAGCAGCUGGAGAAGGAGGCACGAAGGCUGUGGCAGCAGCUGGAGGUGAAGGAGAGGGUGCUGGAGGAGAGUGCUCUGAGGCUGGCCUCCCUGGAGAAGGAGGGCAUCACUAAGGAUAAAGAGCUGGAGAGGUUAAAGGAGGCGACUGGGAAGGUCAAAGAGCUAGAGAGGGAGAACAAGGAGCUGCAGAAACAGGCCACGAUUGACAAGAGGACCCUGGCCACACUCCGAGAGGACCUGGUGAAUGAGAAGCUAAAGGUGCAGCAGCAAUGGAACGAGUUGGAGACACUGAGCCAUGAGCUGGAGAAGAUCGGCCUGAACAGAGAGAAACUACUGCAGGAGGAGCACAGCUGUGAAGACAAUAAGUUCAAGAUCUUGGAGAGUAAGAUAGAGUCAACACUGAAGAAGACUCUGGAGAUCCGUGAGGAGAAGAUUCAGGGGCUGGAGUCCCGACUGGAGGAGUCUAGUAGUCUCAACCAGCAGCUGCGCACUGAACUCAGCACUGUGAAGAAGACUCUAGAGGCUCUGCGACAGAGGCAGGAGGAAGAGGAGGCCCACUCCCAGACCCAGAGCUCCACACUGCAGGCUGUAGGUCAGGGCCAGGGCAGGCCUGGCCAGAAGGAGAAGUGGGAGACUGAGACUAGAGAGGCCACCGCGGAGCUCCUCAAACUCAAGGACCGCCUCAUCGACAUAGAGAAGAAUAAUGCAACCCUGCAGACAGAGAAGCACCUUUUGAAGGAGCAGCUGAGACAGCUGGACACCCAGAACAGUCAGCUGAAUGCCCAGACUGUGGCCGUACAGAGGCAGUCUGCUGUACUGCAAGAGCACAACACGGCCCUGCACACACAGACAGCCAAGCUACAGGUGGAGAACUCCACCCUCAACUCCCAGAGUGCAUCUCUCAUGGCCCAGAAUGCUGUGCUGCAGGGCCAGGUGGGGGCGCUGGAGAGUGAGUCAGAGGCGUGGCAGCGGCAGCGGGAGGAGGCGCGGGUGGGGAGGGAGAGCGUGCUGCAGGAUCACGAGCGCCUGCUGAGUGUGCAUGAGAGACAGGCAGCGGAGUACGAGCAGCUCAUCGCCCAACACGCCACCCUGAAGGGCAACCAGAGAGCUCUGGAGCAAGAGCACCGCACACUGGAGAACAAGUACAUAGUGCUCCUGAAGCAGAAAGAUGCCAUGGAGGCACUGGAGUCCACCCUCCAGAAGGAGAGGGAGAGUCUAGGAGAGGAGAUCCACAAAAAUGCCCUGAUCCUGGGGGAGAACCAGAGCCUGAGGGGGGAAGUGGACAGGUUGACCCAGACACAUACCCAGCUACGUGCGGAGUAUGAUGGGCUGCAGGUGCAGACCAAGGAGCUGAAGACUAGUCUGAAUGGAGCGCAGCUGGAGGUGAACCGCUGGCAGGCCAGAUACGACUCAAUGAAGGAGCAGCACCAGGGCCUGGACAUCUCCAUGACCAAGCUGGACAACCACUGUGAGUUGCUGACGCGUCUGAAGGGGAACCUGGAGGAGGAGAACCACCACCUGCUGAGUCAGAUCCAGAUGUUGAGCCAACAGAACCAGACCCUUCUGGAGAGAACUAUGGAGAGCAAGGAGCUCUACCACGAAGAGCAAAAACAGUACAUUGACAAGUUGAACUCACUCCGGAGGCAGAAAGAGAAGCUGGAGGAGAAGAUCAUGGACCAGUACAAGUUUUAUGAUCCAACCCCUAAAAAGAAGAACCACUGGGCCGGGGCAAAGGCCUUGGCCAAACUCAUCAAGCCCAAGAACAGACAGGACAGCUCGAGGGAGAGGGUGCGGAGCGCCCCAGACAUCCCCCUGCCUGAACCUCCCACCCUGGACUUCCCUGACAUACCUCCCCCCCUGCCUCCCCCCCCUCUACCCCCCCGCCAGUCCCGCCUCAGCCUGGACUCUAUGGGGAACCACUCUCAGGAGGAGAACCACCACGGACAGGGGCACUCUCCUACCCUCACCCCCACCCACUCCAGCAGAGCACCCCCAGCCCUGCCAGCGGUACUCCCCGUCACAGCAGCCAAGCGCUUUGGUUUUCUGAGGAGUAAGAGCCAGGAGAAAAUGAAGGUUCCCAAGACGCCUCUCUCACGGCAUUCUCUCUCUAGACAACUUCGCUUCUGGUCCUCCUCUGACAUCUCCACCUGUACCACCGAGCCUCUCUUGCCCAUCAUUGGACAGUUCUAAUACCACCACCACCAUCUUCGUCAUCUUCAUGUUUACCCCCCCCCCCUUUUUUUUUAAUCUACAACAUCUUAACUUUUUGGCCCACUGUCAUAAUUUACUUACAGAAAACUGAUCUCUUAAUGCACACGUUCCUCCCAUCACAACAUACACUAUCACACAUACCAACACACACAAACUGAACUCUGAACUGAACCUUUUGAGGCCUCUAGCCUCAUACCCUGCACACUCCACUGUGGACUCUGGCUUGACCCUGCACACUAAACGACAGUGGAGUGUCCCGAGGCAGGGAGCUGUACCGAAUUCCAGGGGGUAGCAGUGAGAGUGUCAAUGGCACAGAAGAGCUCUACGCCAGAAGAAGAGGUGUGGAGCUAGGGGGUGCUGCUCACUCCACCCUCGCCAACCACACCUCCACUUCAGGCCUGAUACCAAACUCAAGCUCCAGGCCUGGACGCAGACCCAAAGGUUUUAUCCACGAGGACGACCCUCGGGUUCACUCCCCCGAUGCCCUGUUUGGGAGCAGUAUCCAUGGAAACGCAGGUUAUCGACCAGGCUCUGCUGAGCUCAGCCGCAACACCUCCAGCAGCAACUCCCCUGUUAACUGCAAAGAUUCCCUGGAGCGCCUGCAGGGCCGUUCUGCCAGCCUGUCCAGUGAUGACGUAGUGGGCGUUAGUCACGACGUCUCCCACUCCCUGUCUCUCCCCCGGAGCUCCACGGUUCCCUACGACACCCAUACACACACCCCGACCAAGAGGAGUGCACCCCGGCCGGGCCGCCACCGAACCUCCUCCCCUGGCAGCGAUAUGGUCACCUUGGAAGAGUUCCUAGAGGAGAGCAACACCCUCUCACCACCGACUGUGCAGACAGGCAGUCAGGAGGACCUGAUGGAGGACUACUUCAGCAGAACAGGAGAGCGGGAGAGAUCCACCUCCGGCCGGCCCGCUCUGAGAGAUGGAGCCAAGACCCCAACCAGCUAUGUCACGCCCACCGUGAAGAGAGACACAGACCUCCAACGGGCCGGCGAGGUGCCAGGCAGGAACUCUAAACCAGGCCAGAGCGUCAGGCCCAUCGUCCGGCUCCCUGAGGGAUCCACCUCCACACCCCAGUCCCAGACCCUACCCAACCGGGCCAGCAACGGGUUAGGGACAGGGGGGCGGCCCUCACCCCUGGGACCUCCUGCACCCCGUGGAGGUGGUCUGGGCAGCAGCAGUCUGUCUCGGACCUUCAGCCUGGCCUCUGCUGACCUGCUGCGCUCAAACGGUCCAGAUAGCUACCGGACAGACAGGGAGGCAGGUGGCUCACCCAGCCAGAGUGGAGGUGGUGGAAGUGUGGACGGGGUGGUCAGGAGGCCUGGGGCUGGAGCCAUGGCCAGGGAGCGCCCCCACUCUGCCAGGCUAGCAGGACCCUCGGACAUAGACCCCCGCAGGCUGCCUCUGGCUCCACCCAAAGAGGAACCACUCAGCCUGACCCUUCCCCAGCACCACUCCUCCUCCCUAUCCUUGCAGCCCGAGCGAUACGGAGGAAGAACAACACCAGGCUCCACCCCCAGGAACAACGGACCCAGCACCGGACAACAACAGGGACGACCCAACCCCCAGCAGAAUCAGCAGAACCAUCGUGGGGAGGUUGCCAUGGUGACGCCAGUUAGGGCAGUGCCGGCUCUGAGACUGGAGGAGGCACAGGAGGAAGAGGUGCAGCGCAGAGAGGCGCGGCUACAGGCGAACUCCCCGUUACUGAAGAAACCGGAGGUGGGAGGAGGAGGGGGGCUAAGCUGUGGCACAGGGGAGCCCCCCACGAGCACCCCUGCCUCCCCAGACCCCAAUAACGACCCCCAGACUGUGUGGUAUGAAUAUGGCUGUGUCUAGGACCCGUUAGUGUAGUUACAGACCACAGCCCCAGUACUGUACAAACACUGCUCUUCCUGCUAAACCACAGGAUGGCUGGCCUGGUCUGGUCUGGUCUGGCCUGGUCUGGCACUCCUAGGCUGGUCCUUACUGUACUGGAUAUAUCCUUUAUGAUUCGGACUGUUUGAAACUUCCUAACUGUAAUCUUUAAUGGUGAAACCGCCAACAACAAAGAAGUUACUGCACACAACGAACACUGUUUUUCCCCUCCGACAUCAUUACACGCACGACAGGAGAGCAAAAUAUGUACUGCUUGUUUUUUUGUUUUUUUACCAUGCUGUGCAACGUCUUCUCAGCUCGGCAUCAAAAACAAUAACGGCGUUGGUGUGGCGACCAGUGGCGCUGUUUCCCCCUACUGCGGAUUCUAUCUUUAAAGCUUCAUAAAGGAGAUGCUGCCACACAGAGACCACUUCAAUCAACACACAACAGGGGCCUGUACCCAGCUGGCAAAACAUAUGGUUGAUUUGAUUUGCAUGACCAAGGGACCACCAGUAUCGCAGUUACAUUAGCACAUGAAUGCUUUGAGGAAGACAAGGCACUAGGGAGCGACGAAUGUAUUUUAAUAUUUUUCUAUUGGACACCACUGAUUCCCCUCAGCUCUCUGUGCACUGUAUAUACAACCUUGGCCUUGUCCAAGAAGUUAUAUUCUGAAUCUGAAAAACAAACAUUUUGGGGAAGGAGAAAAGAACCACUCCCAGAGUAAUUGCAUGGUAAUUUCUGUCCUCCAUCUUUAGGAGCUUAAGGACAGACAGUGUUUGAUUGUCUCAACACAGCCUCGGAGUAACACAUUACUGGAAAAAGGUCUGCUCCAACUUCGAACAUACUGUUUUCUGUUGUGGCCUGUGGGUGACCAAACUAUGGGCUUUGUGAAACUGGCUUGUGGGGAGCAUGUAAUUCAUCCCAUAUCUGUCCUUGUGCACGCGAGGCAGAACGAGAAAGUAGAGGGAGAGAGCACCGCACUGACCAACUUCCGAAAAGAGAAAAAGCAGGGAUUUUGUAGCAAAAGAGGGGAUACUUUUUAAAUGAAAGGAGUGAAGGAGGAUUGAGAUGGAGAUGGAGCGAAAGUGAGUUUAAAAAAAAUAUAUGGACAAAGAUGGAAAUGGUGACAUGAUGAUUAAAACAGAUGAAGAUGAGAGUUAGAGAUUGGUCAGGUUGAGAAAUAAAACGGUGAAAUAUUUCAUACUGUCCAUGACUGACCACCGUGAAUGCCCCCAGAAACUAGUGUCUAUACCAGAUCUCUACAACCUUGUUCCCGGAGAGAUACCCUCAUGUAGGUUUUCACUCCAACCCCAGUUGUAACUAACCUGAUUCAGCUAAUUAUUAGAAUCUGGUGCACUAGAUUGGGGUUGAAGUGAAAACGUACAAGAUGGUUGGAGAGCCCUGCUAUAUAGUAGAACACUUGUCAGUUUUGAUGUUUUCUAUAUGCAUAUGAUGAAUAUUAUUUUCCAAAAUCAUUCCAAAAAGCACUAUACAAUGAAGUAGAUAAUGAGUCUGAACACUGGAUACAUUUUUUACUACAGAAAACGAGUACAUUGUCGACCAAGGGUUAAGGCUUUGUCUUUUUCAUUUUGAGUUCUUGAUAGUGUUAAAUGUAAUUUUUUUUUAGAUACUGUCUGCUACCCAGCUAUACAAUGGCAAUAAGACUCAAUGUAUUUAUGAUCCCCUCGAUGAUAAAACUACAGUUUGUCUGCAUGUUUUUUCUUUUCUUUUUUCUCACCUAAAUGUGUUUGUUGUGAAGUGAACAGUGUGUGUUUCAUUGUAAGGGUGGUGGUGUUUGAAUUGUGCACAACCUCAUUAAUUCAAAGUAUCGAUGCGUUUUCUGUAUUCGUAAAAAGUCAGUGGAUAAAAUUCUAAUUAGACUCCUGUAUUAGGUGGAUGAUUAGUCUGCCUGUUACAGUGUAACAAUGCAUCAGAUGACUAUAUAGAGCAUGAAAAUUGACCAGAUUUGGCACUUUUCUCUACUAAAUCAAAUUUCCCUUCCACAGCUGUUCUCUUCAGAUUGAUGAAAGGUUGGCAUUCCCAAGAGAAAUAUCAUCUGUUUUGCAUUGAAUCUCACGUGUGUGUGUGUGUGUGUGUGUGUGUGUGUGUGUGUGUGUGUGUGUGUGUUUGUUUGUGUGCGCACACACACACCUAUGCACAAUAUGUGUGCCAUCACCAUGUGUACAGGUGUCUAAGGUCUUGUCUAACUGGUGCACAGUUCCUGUGUGUAAUGUACAGUAGGUUAGAGAUUUGAUUUUGAUAAUCAUGACCAAACACUACUAAAAAAUGACUGGAGUUCUAAAAGACACACCUACCAACAUGCACAGAUACUGAAAUGAAAAUAUUGCAAAUGUUUUCAUUGCUUAAUGUAGAUACAUAGACCUUUUCUGUCCAAGAACAAUGGAAACCUUUUUAAAUAAAGAUUUGUAAAAUGA